GACGAACGCUGGCGGCGUGCCUAAUACAUGCAAGUCGAACGCUGAAGAGAGGAGCUUGCUCUUCUUGGAUGAGUUGCGAACGGGUGAGUAACGCGUAGGUAACCUGCCUUGUAGCGGGGGAUAACUAUUGGAAACGAUAGCUAAUACCGCAUAACAAUGGAUGACACAUGUCAUUUAUUUGAAAGGGGCAAUUGCUCCACUACAAGAUGGACCUGCGUUGUAUUAGCUAGUAGGUGAGGUAACGGCUCACCUAGGCGACGAUACAUAGCCGACCUGAGAGGGUGAUCGGCCACACUGGGACUGAGACACGGCCCAGACUCCUACGGGAGGCAGCAGUAGGGAAUCUUCGGCAAUGGGGGCAACCCUGACCGAGCAACGCCGCGUGAGUGAAGAAGGUUUUCGGAUCGUAAAGCUCUGUUGUAAGUCAAGAACGAGUGUGAGAGUGGAAAGUUCACACUGUGACGGUAGCUUACCAGAAAGGGACGGCUAACUACGU
This 496-nucleotide ribosomal RNA is filed under the name uncultured bacterium. RNAcentral describes it as "partial 16S ribosomal RNA". It matches the Rfam family "Bacterial small subunit ribosomal RNA", at positions 28 to 506 of the family's 1533-position model. The record is from RNAcentral.